AUUGAACGCUGGCGGCAGGCCUAACACAUGCAAGUCGAACGGUAACAGAAAGCAGCUUGCUGCUUUGCUGACGAGUGGCGGACGGGUGAGUAAUGUCUGGGAAACUGCCUGAUGGAGGGGGAUAACUACUGGAAACGGUAGCUAGUACCGCAUAACGUCGCAAGACCAAAGAGGGGGACCUUCGGGCCUCUUGCCAUCGGAUGUGCCCAGAUGGGAUUAGCUAGUAGGUGGGGUAACGGCUCACCUAGGCGACGAUCCCUAGCUGGUCUGAGAGGAUGACCAGCCACACUGGAACUGAGACACGGUCCAGACUCCUACGGGAGGCAGCAGUGGGGAAUAUUGCACAAUGGGCGCAAGCCUGAUGCAGCCAUGCCGCGUGUAUGAAGAAGGCCUUCGGGUUGUAAAGUACUUUCAGCGGGGAGGAAGGGAGUAAAGUUAAUACCUUUGCUCAUUGACGUUACCCGCAGAAGAAGCACCGGCUAACUCCGUG
Molecule: ribosomal RNA, 490 nt
Filed under: uncultured bacterium
Lineage: Bacteria
Description: partial 16S ribosomal RNA
Rfam family: Bacterial small subunit ribosomal RNA
Source: RNAcentral